This 231-nucleotide ribosomal RNA is filed under the name uncultured Staphylococcus sp. RNAcentral describes it as "partial 16S ribosomal RNA". It matches the Rfam family "Bacterial small subunit ribosomal RNA", at positions 109 to 334 of the family's 1533-position model. The record is from RNAcentral. Lineage: Bacteria; Bacillati; Bacillota; Bacilli; Caryophanales; Staphylococcaceae.
AGUAACACGUGGAUAGCCUACCUAUAAGACUGGGAUAACUUCGGGAAACCGGAGCUAAUACCGGAUAAUAUAUUGAACCGCAUGGUUCAAUAGUGAAAGACGGUUUUGCUGUCACUUAUAGAUGGAUCCGCGCCGCAUUAGCUAGUUGGUAAGGUAACAGCUUACCAAGGCAACGAUGCGUAGCCGACCUGAGAGGGUGAUCGGCCACACUGGAACUGAGACACGGUCCAG